UACAGAGGGUGCGAGCGUUGUCCGGAAUUAUUGGGCGUAAAGAGCUCGUAGGCGGUGUGUCGCGUCGGCCGUGAAAACCUGUGGCUUAACUAUGGGCUUGCGGUCGAUACGGGCAUCACUGGAGUUCGGCAGGGGAGACUGGAAUUCCUGGUGUAGCGGUGAAAUGCGCAGAUAUCAGGAGGAACACCGGUGGCGAAGGCGGGUCUCUGGGCCGAUACUGACGCUGAGGAGCGAAAGCGUGGGGAGCGAACAGG
Molecule: ribosomal RNA, 254 nt
Filed under: uncultured bacterium
Lineage: Bacteria
Description: partial 16S ribosomal RNA
Rfam family: Bacterial small subunit ribosomal RNA
Source: RNAcentral